UAGACUUUGACCAGAUACUAUUGCAUCUAAAGAUCAACUGUACCUAGAACAUAGAUACAGAGCCACUUGUCAUCAGGAAGCUGCUCUCUCAGCACAACAGAAAAUAUCUCAAUGACUUGACAUGUUCUGGUUGUGAAUUCAGGCUACAAGGGGUCAGUGCUCUAAAAUGAGUCUCUCUGGGGAGAGAGAGGAGGGGGCCCCUGCCUCUAAAAUGAGUCUCUCUGGAGAACAUGACACAAAAGCUAAGAGUCCGAUCAAGCAGGAGAGACCAGCCUCCCCUGUACCCAGCUGUGUGUCCAUGAAGAGUGACCGGUCAAUGGAUAAAUUUAUAGACUUCAGAGAGGGAGAUUAUUCUACUGAACAAAGAAACCAACAGGAGAGAUCAGAGUCAGAGAUUCUCAGUGGUCAGUCUUCCCAGAGUCAUCAAACAGACCUGGACUCUAUAUUCAAU
Non-coding RNA from Salmo salar (Atlantic salmon), 451 nucleotides. Lineage: Eukaryota; Metazoa; Chordata; Actinopteri; Salmoniformes; Salmonidae. The record is from RefSeq and is a predicted model, not a curated record.